This 481-nucleotide ribosomal RNA is filed under the name uncultured Rubritalea sp. RNAcentral describes it as "bacterial SSU rRNA". It matches the Rfam family "Bacterial small subunit ribosomal RNA", at positions 29 to 505 of the family's 1533-position model. The record is from RNAcentral. Lineage: Bacteria; Pseudomonadati; Verrucomicrobiota; Verrucomicrobiia; Verrucomicrobiales; Rubritaleaceae.
AAUGAACGCUGGCGGCGUGGAUAAGACAUGCAAGUCGAACGAAGAGAGAUUUAGUUUACUAAUGAUCUUUUAGUGGCGGACGGGUUAGUAACGCGUGAGCAACUUGCCUCAAAGAGGGGGAUAGUCCUGGGAAACUGGGUUUAAUACCGCAUGUGCUCUUCGGAGUAAAGUGGCCUUCGGGUCACGCUUUGAGAUAGGCUCGCGUCCUAUCAGCUAGUUGGUGAGGUAAAGGCUCACCAAGGCGACGACGGGUAGUUGGUCUGAGAGGACGAUCAGCAACACUGGAACUGAGACACGGUCCAGACACCUACGGGUGGCAGCAGUCGAGAAUCAUUCACAAUGGGGGCAACCCUGAUGGUGCAACGCCGCGUGGAGGAUGAAGGCCCUAGGGUCGUAAACUCCUGUCAUAUGAGAGUAAGGCAUAUUAGUUAAUACCUAGUAUGUUUGAUAGUAUCAUAAGAGGAAGGGACGGCUAACUUCG